AGCAGCCGCGGUAAUUCCAGCUCCAAUAGCGUAUAUUAAAGUUGUUGCAGUUAAAAAGCUCGUAGUUGAAUUUCGGGAUUAGUACGUUGGUCGUGCCUUCGGUACGUACUGGUGUUACUGAUUCCUACCUUCUGACGAACCAUCAUGUCAUUAAUUUGGUGUGGCGGGGAAUCAGGACUGUUACUUUGAAAAAAUUAGAGUGUUUAAAGCAGGCUCGCGCUUGAAUACAUUAGCAUGGAAUAAUGAAAUAGGACGUUGACCCUAUUUUGUUGGUUUCUAGGAUUGACGUAAUGAUUAAUAGGGAUAGUUGGGGGCAUUAGUAUUCAAUUGUCAGAGGUGAAAUUCUUGGAUUUAUUGAAGACUAACUACUGCGAAAGCAUUUGCCAAGGAUGUUUUCAUUAAUCAAGAACGAAAGUUAGGGGAUCGAAGACGAUCAGAUACCGUCGUAGUCUUAACCAUAAACUAUGCCGACUAGGGAUCGGAUGAUGUUAUUUUUAAUCACCUAGUGAA
This 510-nucleotide ribosomal RNA is filed under the name uncultured Glomeromycotina. Its description in RNAcentral is "SSU rRNA". It matches the Rfam family "Eukaryotic small subunit ribosomal RNA", at positions 569 to 1078 of the family's 1831-position model. Lineage: Eukaryota; Fungi; Glomeromycota. The record is from RNAcentral.